GACGAACGCUGGCGGCGUGCUCAACACAUGCAAGUCGAGCGGAGCGGCGAACGGGUGAGUAACGCGUGAGUAACUGCCCCCCUCUCUGGGAUACCAGUUGGAAACCGCCGCUAAUACCGGAUAGUGGGGGAUGACUCGCGUCCUAUCCGUUUGUUGGUGUGGGAGUGGCUUACCAAGGCGACGACGGGUGGCCGGCCUGAGAGGGCGACCGGCCAACUUGGGCGGACCUACCGCCCUAGCUCCUACGGGACGCAGCAAUGUGGAAUAUUGCACAAUGGGGGAAACCCUGCUGCAGCAACGCCGCGUGCGGGAUGACGGCCUUCGGGUUGUAGUCCGCUUUCAGCCAUGACGCGGUAGUGGCAGAAGAGGCACCGGGUAAGUACGUGCCAGCAGCCGCGGUAAUUC
RNAcentral lists this ribosomal RNA (405 nucleotides) under uncultured bacterium. RNAcentral describes it as "partial 16S ribosomal RNA". It matches the Rfam family "Bacterial small subunit ribosomal RNA", at positions 28 to 526 of the family's 1533-position model. The record is from RNAcentral.